CCUACGGGAGGCAGCAGUGAGGAAUAUUGGUCAAUGGACGAGAGUCUGAACCAGCCAAGUAGCGUGAAGGAUGACUGCCCUAUGGGUUGUAAACUUCUUUUAUAUGGGAAUAAAAUGUUCCACGUGUGGGAUUUUGUAUGUACCAUAUGAAUAAGGAUCGGCUAACUCCGUGCCAGCAGCCGCGGUAAUACGGAGGAUCCGAGCGUUAUCCGGAUUUAUUGGGUUUAAAGGGAGCGUAGGUGGAUUGUUAAGUCAGUUGUGAAAGUUUGCGGCUGAACCGUAAAAUUGCAGUUGAAACUGGCAGUCUUGAGUACAGUAGAGGUGGGCGGAAUUCGUGGUGUAGCGGUGAAAUGCGUAGAUAUCACGAAGAACUCCGAUUGCGAAGGCAGCUCACUGGACUGCAACUGACACUGAGGCUCGAAAGUGUGGGGAUCAAACAGGAUUAGAUACCCGAGUAGUC
This 460-nucleotide ribosomal RNA is filed under the name uncultured bacterium. RNAcentral describes it as "partial 16S ribosomal RNA". It matches the Rfam family "Bacterial small subunit ribosomal RNA", at positions 338 to 795 of the family's 1533-position model. The record is from RNAcentral.